Molecule: ribosomal RNA, 1556 nt
Filed under: Enterococcus faecium
Lineage: Bacteria; Bacillati; Bacillota; Bacilli; Lactobacillales; Enterococcaceae
Description: bacterial SSU rRNA
Rfam family: Bacterial small subunit ribosomal RNA
Source: RNAcentral
UAUGAGAGUUUGAUCCUGGCUCAGGACGAACGCUGGCGGCGUGCCUAAUACAUGCAAGUCGAACGCUUCUUUUUCCACCGGAGCUUGCUCCACCGGAAAAAGAGGAGUGGCGAACGGGUGAGUAACACGUGGGUAACCUGCCCAUCAGAAGGGGAUAACACUUGGAAACAGGUGCUAAUACCGUAUAACAAUCAAAACCGCAUGGUUUUGAUUUGAAAGGCGCUUUCGGGUGUCGCUGAUGGAUGGACCCGCGGUGCAUUAGCUAGUUGGUGAGGUAACGGCUCACCAAGGCCACGAUGCAUAGCCGACCUGAGAGGGUGAUCGGCCACAUUGGGACUGAGACACGGCCCAAACUCCUACGGGAGGCAGCAGUAGGGAAUCUUCGGCAAUGGACGAAAGUCUGACCGAGCAACGCCGCGUGAGUGAAGAAGGUUUUCGGAUCGUAAAACUCUGUUGUUAGAGAAGAACAAGGAUGAGAGUAACUGUUCAUCCCUUGACGGUAUCUAACCAGAAAGCCACGGCUAACUACGUGCCAGCAGCCGCGGUAAUACGUAGGUGGCAAGCGUUGUCCGGAUUUAUUGGGCGUAAAGCGAGCGCAGGCGGUUAUUGAAGGGCAUCUUAGUCUGCUAAAUCGUUGGGGGAAAGAUGAUCCUGAACUGGGAGACUUGAGUGCAGAAGAGGAGAGUGGAAUUCCAUGUGUAGCGGUGAAAUGCGUAGAUAUAUGGAGGAACACCAGUGGCGAAGGCGGCUCUCUGGUCUGUAACUGACGCUGAGGCUCGAAAGCGUGGGGAGCAAACAGGAUUAGAUACCCUGGUAGUCCACGCCGUAAACGAUGAGUGCUAAGUGUUGGAGGGUUUCCGCCCUUCAGUGCUGCAGCUAACGCAUUAAGCACUCCGCCUGGGGAGUACGACCGCAAGGUUGAAACUCAAAGGAAUUGACGGGGGCCCGCACAAGCGGUGGAGCAUGUGGUUUAAUUCGAAGCAACGCGAAGAACCUUACCAGGUCUUGACAUCCUUUGACCACUCUAGAGAUAGAGCUUCCCCUUCGGGGGCAAAGUGACAGGUGGUGCAUGGUUGUCGUCAGCUCGUGUCGUGAGAUGUUGGGUUAAGUCCCGCAACGAGCGCAACCCUUAUUGUUAGUUGCCAUCAUUCAGUUGGGCACUCUAGCAAGACUGCCGGUGACAAACCGGAGGAAGGUGGGGAUGACGUCAAAUCAUCAUGCCCCUUAUGACCUGGGCUACACACGUGCUACAAUGGGAAGUACAACGAGUUGCGAAGUCGCGAGGCUAAGCUAAUCUCUUAAAGCUUCUCUCAGUUCGGAUUGCAGGCUGCAACUCGCCUGCAUGAAGCCGGAAUCGCUAGUAAUCGCGGAUCAGCACGCCGCGGUGAAUACGUUCCCGGGCCUUGUACACACCGCCCGUCACACCACGAGAGUUUGUAACACCCGAAGUCGGUGAGGUAACCUUUUGGAGCCAGCCGCCUAAGGUGGGAUAGAUGAUUGGGGUGAAGUCGUAACAAGGUAGCCGUAUCGGAAGGUGCGGCUGGAUCACCUCCUUU